Long non-coding RNA from Lycium ferocissimum, 871 nucleotides. RefSeq lists it as uncharacterized. The transcript is spliced from 2 exons. NCBI's taxonomy places the organism in Eukaryota, Viridiplantae, Streptophyta, Magnoliopsida, Solanales, Solanaceae. The record is from RefSeq and is a predicted model, not a curated record.
CAAGAACCUUAAGUGAUGUCACUGAAAAACAAACUUGGAACUAAGAAAAACAAGCAUCCACAAGUACUAUGAUGACUUCUUUGUUUUGUGUGUGUGUGUGUGUAUUAUAUUAUAUCUAUAUAUAUAUAUAUAUAUAUAUAUAUAUAGUAAAAUAUAAUAAAAUAAAAAUUAGGACAAUGAUUUUAAGUUACCAAGUAGUUGAGGAAAAAAGCAAAAACUGCAGUAACACCUCCUCUUAUUAACCCAAAAUUACUUGACAUCAGCAACUUUGUCAUCCCAUCUUGCUAGUGCAAGAAUACUGAUUAUAGUAGGACUUCCAAUUUAGAAUUCCAUCAAGCAACCACAAGUUAAAACAUUAACAUUUAAUAUCACUACUUAACUCGCCGCUAGGAUCAUUGCCCCUUAAUUGCAAUAUCCUAGCACAUCGAUACAGACCACCAAUAUUGGCCGCUAGCCAUACAGCGACAAGACAAUGAAAGAGGAGGCAGAUUAGGUCCUCCAAUAUCUGCUCAUUUGCGUCCAAGUGGCAAAUAUGAAUCGUGUGAUCACUUUUCAGAAUCAAGAAGAACAGAACCAGGGGAAAGACAGAAAUCAAGUGUCCACAAUCACUCUAUUGAUGCUAUUUGAAAGGGAACAGAACAGGGUCUAUUCAGAUGCAGGAGACAAUUGUUAAUACAUCUGUCAAUUGGAUGAUAAAAUAUCCUGCCAGUAACCUGUUCUGCUAUAUGUAUGCCUAUGGAGCAUGCGUGCAUAAACAACCAGCAGAACUAGAAAAGCUGGAUUCAGCAUGUGACUGGUAGCUGAAGGAGAGAAGAUCAAGAUGAUCAAGAAGAGAAGGAGGGAAGUUCUGAUAAUUUCUGUUUUUCCAAAA